GCCGACUUAGCUCAGUUGGGAGAGCGUUAGACUGAAYAUCUAAAGGUCCCUGGCUCGAUCCCGGGAGUCGGCACCA
This 76-nucleotide transfer RNA is filed under the name Euglena gracilis. It matches the Rfam family "tRNA". From Rfam's summary of the family: Transfer RNA (tRNA) molecules are approximately 80 nucleotides in length. Lineage: Eukaryota; Euglenozoa; Euglenophyceae; Euglenales; Euglenaceae. The record is from RNAcentral.